RNAcentral lists this ribosomal RNA (433 nucleotides) under uncultured bacterium. RNAcentral's name for it is "partial 16S ribosomal RNA". It matches the Rfam family "Bacterial small subunit ribosomal RNA", at positions 29 to 507 of the family's 1533-position model. The record is from RNAcentral.
AACGAACGCUGGCGGCAGGCCUAACACAUGCAAGUCGAGCGGACCUUUCGGGGUCAGCGGCGGACGGGUGCGUAACGCGUGGGAAUAUGCCCUUCUCUACGGAAUAGUCCUGGGAAACUGGGGGUAAUACCGUAUACGCCCUUUGGGGGAAAGAUUUAUCGGGGAAGGAUUAGCCCGCGUUGGAUUAGGUAGUUGGUGGGGUAAUGGCCUACCAAGCCGACGAUCCAUAGCUGGUUUGAGAGGAUGAUCAGCCACACUGGGACUGAGACACGGCCCAGACUCCUACGGGAGGCAGCAGUGGGGAAUCUUAGACAAUGGGGGCAACCCUGAUCUAGCCAUGCCGCGUGAGUGAUGAAGGCCUUAGGGUUGUAAAGCUCUUUCAGCUGGGAAGAUAAUGACGGUACCAGCAGAAGAAGCCCCGGCUAACUCCGUG